This 565-nucleotide ribosomal RNA is filed under the name uncultured bacterium. RNAcentral's name for it is "bacterial SSU rRNA". It matches the Rfam family "Bacterial small subunit ribosomal RNA", at positions 338 to 916 of the family's 1533-position model. The record is from RNAcentral.
CCUACGGGAGGCAGCAGUCGGGAAUUUUGCGCAAUGGGGGGAAACCCUGACGCAGCAAUACCGCGUGUGGGAUGAAGGCCUUCGGGUCGUAAACCACUUUUCUCGGGGACGAUAAUGACGGUACCCGAGGAAUAAGCCACGGCUAACUACGUGCCAGCAGCCGCGGUAAUACGUAGGUGGCAAGCGUUGUCCGGAUUUACUGGGCGUAAAGCGCGCGCAGGCGGUGAAUGAAGUCGAAAGUGAAAGCCCCGGGCUCAACUCGGGAAACAGGCUUUCGAAACCAGUUCACUUGAAGGUGGAAGAGGGAAGUGGAAUUCCGAGUGUAGCGGUGGAAUGCGCAGAUAUUCGGAGGAACACCAGAGGCGAAGGCGACUUCCUGGUCCAAUCUUGACGCUGAGGCGCGAAAGCUAGGGGAGCAAACAGGAUUAGAUAUCCUGGUAGUCCUAGCUGUAAACGAUGGAUACUAGGUGUUGGAGGUUUUAACCCCUCCGGUGCCGCAGCUAACGCAUUAAGUAUCCCGCCUGGGGAGUACGGCCGCAAGGCUAAAACUCAAAUGAAUUGACGG